CACGUAGUUAGCCGGGGCUUCUUAAUCAGGUACCGUCAUUUUCUUCCCUGCUGAUAGAGCUUUACAUACCGAAAUACUUCUUCACUCACGCGGCGUCGCUGCAUCAGGGUUUCCCCCAUUGUGCAAUAUUCCCCACUGCUGCCUCCCGUAGGAGUUUGGGCCGUGUCUCAGUCCCAAUGUGGCCGUUCACCCUCUCAGGCCGGCUACUGAUCGUCGCCUUGGUGAGCCAUUACCCCACCAACAAGCUAAUCAGACGCGGAACCAUCGUAUACCACCAGAGUUUUUCACACCACUUCAUGCGAAGCUGUGCGCUUAUGCGGUAUUAGCACCUAUUUCUAAGUGUUAUCCCCCAGUAUACGGCAGGUUUUCCACGCGUUACUCACCCGUCCGCCACUAACUCAUAAAUCACUAGGUUUCAAUAUGAGUCCGUUCGACUUGCAUGUGUUAAGCACGCCGCCAGCGUUCAUCCUGAGCCAGGAUCAAACUCU
This 488-nucleotide ribosomal RNA is filed under the name uncultured Lachnospiraceae bacterium. RNAcentral's name for it is "partial 16S ribosomal RNA". Lineage: Bacteria; Bacillati; Bacillota; Clostridia; Lachnospirales; Lachnospiraceae. The record is from RNAcentral.